UCCUGUGGUGCCCCCCCACCCAGUGGCAGUUCAUAUGCACCCCACGCCUUCAAUCGACUGGGCUCCUGGCCGAUAGAAGGAGAAUGGGCAGAGCUGGGCAAGCCAUUGAAGGAGGCAUUCAGUGGCUUAAGGUGCCAUCAGUAGCAACUUUGGCCAGGGUUGCUCAGCGGGUCCUCUGGAUGCUUCACGGCUCUCUGAUGCAGGGUACAACAGGUUCAUCCAUUUGUCUGAUCCAGAAAAUAUUGCCCUCAUCCUCAAUUUACUUAAUUUGUCCUCAGUGACAUGAUCAUGUAGCCAAAUCUGUGAUCUCAUCCUGCCCUCUACAUGAUCCUCAUGCUUGCCCAUUUAACUAUUCCAAGAAGAAGCAGAAAUUAGGGGAAGAAGCCAAACUGCAGCAGGAUUGUUCCACAAGGAGGUAUUGUAAUCAGGAAACGAACUACUGGACUCACUGUUAAUAAAGACUGGACACUGUGAUGCAUGUCAUUCUUCAGAUCUUCAGAUGCCAAAAGUCAUACUGUCAACAUGGAAUGUAUCGCUACAAAUACUACAAAGAAAAAUGGUUCUGGGAAAAGGCAGAGAACGAAACCUUGAAGUAAACAAUUGUUUAAAUUUUAAACUAAA
Molecule: long non-coding RNA, 621 nt
Organism: Hemicordylus capensis (graceful crag lizard)
Lineage: Eukaryota; Metazoa; Chordata; Lepidosauria; Squamata; Cordylidae
Exons: 2
Source: RefSeq, a predicted model, not a curated record